CAAAUUUUGAUUUCUGUAUUCAUUGCACAUCCACUGGAGUAUCACAGCAUAUGAAAUUCAGUUGCCUGUUGGCAGGAAGAGCGGGAGCGUCGACCAUGAGGCUGACAGGAAAGUGAAUCACUGAUUUAAAAACUUACCUCAUGAUUAGGUGGAACACACGCUGAGCAGGAAUGGACACGAGACUGCUGAGUGCAAGUGCCAGACAUCCUGGAAGAUCCAAGUGACGAGUACUUUUGCUUACAGAGAAAACAACGCACAAAUUGCAAAAGAGCAUCAUGCUUAGGCAAUAAGGAAAUGACAUCACCACAAACCCCAGGAACCCCAUC
This is a long non-coding RNA of Chiloscyllium plagiosum (whitespotted bambooshark), 326 nucleotides long. RefSeq lists it as uncharacterized. The record is from RefSeq and is a predicted model, not a curated record. Lineage: Eukaryota; Metazoa; Chordata; Chondrichthyes; Orectolobiformes; Hemiscylliidae.